GAUGAACGCUGGCGGCGUGCCUAAUACAUGCAAGUCGAGCGAACAGGCGAGUUGCUUGCUGCUGUGAGGUUAGCGGCGGACGGGGGAGUAACACGUGGAUAACCUACCUAUAAGACUGGGAUAACUUCGGGAAACCGGAGCUAAUACCGGAUAAUAUUUUGAACCGCAUGGUUCAACAGUGUAAGACGGUCUUUCUGUCACUUAUGGAUGGAUCCGCGCCGCAUUAGCUAGUUGGUAAGGUAACGGCUUACCAAGGCAACGAUGCGUAGCCGACCUGAGAGGGUGAUCGGCCACACUGGAACUGAGACACGGCCCAGACUCCUACGGGAGGCAGCAGUAGGGAAGCUUCCGGAAUGGGCGAAAGACGGACGGAGCAACGCCGCGGGAGGGAGGAAGGUCUUCGGAUCGUAAAACUCCGUUAUUAGGGAAGAACAAAUGUGUAAGUAACUGUGCACGUCUUGACGGUACCUAAUCAGAAAGCCACGGCUAACUACGUG
This 497-nucleotide ribosomal RNA is filed under the name uncultured bacterium. Its description in RNAcentral is "partial 16S ribosomal RNA". It matches the Rfam family "Bacterial small subunit ribosomal RNA", at positions 28 to 507 of the family's 1533-position model. The record is from RNAcentral.